CCAGUGUUUUGAUUUCCUGACCCAACUUCCCUCCACAUGAAAAACAGCCAACAGACCAGCCACACCAGGUACCACCGCAAAACAUGCAGAAGCGGCAGGCAGCGAGAAAGAGCUGGAGCCAGCACCACAGGGCAGGAGCAAGCCGGAGGAGCUCCUGGAAGAGUAAAAAGUGAGAGGUCAGCCCUGCGUCACCAUGGCAACCCACACAGCUCGGGCCAGGAGCAGAUGAACGGAGCUCUUUACGCCGUGUGAUCACCAGGAAAUGAGGAAAGACCCAUGGGUACCAGGCCCUGGGUUAGGUGCUGUACCGUCUUAUUGCCUCUGAUCCUCGCAGUGGUCUCAUGAGCCACAGAAUCGAAUACGACAUUGCAUCCCUCCCGUUAGCUCAUUAGCAAUGAAGGAUCUGAUCUUUACAAGAAAAAUUGGGAAAUUUCACCACAGAUGGGAAUGCCUUGAUUGCUUGGUGAGGCUGUGACUGCACAGUCAGCAACAGGUGCUGUUGCUUUUGUAGAACCCUGUGCUUCAAAAGACAAGCUGAGACUCCGAAAUGAAAGUUAAUGACAAAUCCAGCCAGAGUGAACAGAUGGAGUGACAAGUGACAGCCCAUCUUAUAUAUAUGAAUACCCAUUAGCAGGAUGUGCUGCAAUAUGCUGCUUGUCAUCUGUUUCAAAGACACAGUGAUAGGAUACAGCGGUCUGUUUUAGAGAAACAUCUGCGUAGUAGAGUUUUAUUGAGUGGCAUAAAGAAAUACAGAAACAGUAACAAUGAAGUCUCCUCUAGUAAUAAAUUAUAGGU
RNAcentral lists this long non-coding RNA (795 nucleotides) under Equus caballus (horse). Its description in RNAcentral is "lncRNA (ENSECAG00000047793.1)". Lineage: Eukaryota; Metazoa; Chordata; Mammalia; Perissodactyla; Equidae. The record is from RNAcentral.